AUGCGAGUUGAUGGGAAACCUAAAGUUCCCAUGGCAAACUGCUCAGUAACACAUGAUCAACUUACCCUAUAGAGAAAAAUAACCUCGGGAAACUGAGGAUAAUGUUUCAUAGUUGAAUUGGCUUGGAAAAGUUUUUCGACGAAAGGGGUAAAAAAAAUGGUUUUUAUCUGCUAUAGGAUAGGAUCGUGUUCGAUUAUGGUUGUUGGUGAGGUAAUGGCUCACCAAGCCGAUAAUCGAUAGGGGCCGUGAGAGCGGGAGCCCCGAGAUGGGUACUGAGACAACGACCCAGGCCUUACGAGGCGCAGCAGGCGCGAAACCUCCGCAAUACACGAAAGUGUGACGGGGUUACCCAAAGUGUUCAAUUUUGAACUGUGGUAGGUGAGUAAUGUUCCCUACUAGAAAGGAGAGGGCAAGGCUGGUGCCAGCCGCCGCGGUAAAACCAGCUCUUCAAGUGGUCGGGAUAAUUAUUGGGCUUAAAGUGUCCGUAGCCGGUUUGGUAAGUUCCUGGUAAAAUCGGGUAGCUUAACUAUCUAUAUGCUAGGAAUACUACUAUACUAGAGGGCGGGAGAGGUCUGAGGUACUACAGGGGUAGGGGUGAAAUCUUAUAAUCCUUGUUGGACCACCAGUGGCGAAGGCGUCAGACUGGAACGCGCCUGACGGUGAGGGACGAAAGCCAGGGGAGCGAACCGGAUUAGAUACCCGGGUAGUCCUGGCCGUAAACGAUGCAUACUAGGUGAUGGCACGGCCAUGAGCCGUGUCAGUGCCGUAGGGAAACCGUUAAGUGUGCCGCCUGGGAAGUACGGUCGCAAGGCUAAAACUUAAAGGAAUUGGCGGGGGAGCACCACAAGGGGUGAAGCCUGCGGUUCAAUUGGAUUCAACGCCGGAA
RNAcentral lists this ribosomal RNA (886 nucleotides) under uncultured crenarchaeote. Its description in RNAcentral is "bacterial SSU rRNA". It matches the Rfam family "Archaeal small subunit ribosomal RNA", at positions 51 to 923 of the family's 1478-position model. The record is from RNAcentral. Lineage: Archaea; Thermoproteati; Thermoproteota.